GAUUUCUGAACACGUGAAUGUGAUCGGCCACGGUUUCGUGUGUUAGUGUUAUAUUCUGCGGUUCAUCCUUUCAUAAUGCGUAUAUAUUUAUCUUCAUUGAUAGAUCAUAUAUCAUUUGAAUCUUUUACUUUGAAAAAAUUAGAGUGUUUCAAGCAGGCUUAAUGCUAUGAAUACAUUAGCAUGGAAUAAUAAUUUAGGACUUCGGUUCUAUUUUGUUGGUUUCUAGGACUGAAGUAAUGAUUGAUAGGGAUAGUUGGGGGUGCUAGUAUUCAGCGGCCAGAGGUGAAAUUCUCGGAUUCGCUGAAGACUAACUUAUGCGAAAGCAUU
RNAcentral lists this ribosomal RNA (327 nucleotides) under uncultured Limnofilidae. RNAcentral's name for it is "bacterial SSU rRNA". The stretch from base 113 to 327 matches the Rfam family "Eukaryotic small subunit ribosomal RNA", at positions 740 to 955 of the family's 1831-position model. Lineage: Eukaryota; Cercozoa; Limnofilidae. The record is from RNAcentral.